Molecule: ribosomal RNA, 590 nt
Filed under: Salmonella enterica
Lineage: Bacteria; Pseudomonadati; Pseudomonadota; Gammaproteobacteria; Enterobacterales; Enterobacteriaceae
Description: partial 23S ribosomal RNA
Rfam family: Bacterial large subunit ribosomal RNA
Source: RNAcentral
UAAGCGACUAAGCGUACACGGUGGAUGCCCUGGCAGUCAGAGGCGAUGAAGGGCGUGCUAAUCUGCGAUAAGCGCCGGUAAGGUGAUAUGAACCGUUAUAACCGGCGAUACCCGAAUGGGGAAACCCAGUGUGAUUCGUCACACUAUCAUUAACUGAAUCCAUAGGUUAAUGAGGCGAACCGGGGGAACUGAAACAUCUAAGUACCCCGAGGAAAAGAAAUCAACCGAGAUUCCCCCAGUAGCGGCGAGCGAACGGGGAGGAGCCCAGAGCCUGAAUCAGCAUGUGUGUUAGUGGAAGCGUCUGGAAAGGCGCGCGAUACAGGGUGACAGCCCCGUACACAAAAGCGCAUGUGCUGUGAGCUCGAUGAGUAGGGCGGGACACGUGGUAUCCUGUCUGAAUAUGGGGGGACCAUCCUCCAAGGCUAAAUACUCCUGACUGACCGAUAGUGAACCAGUACCGUGAGGGAAAGGCGAAAAGAACCCCGGCGAGGGGAGUGAAAAAGAACCUGAAACCGUGUACGUACAAGCAGUGGGAGCACAGGUUUACCUGUGUGACUGCGUACCUUUUGUAUAAUGGGUCAGCGACUUAU